AUGGCGGCCGGAGGUGCAUCCAUACCUCCCAUGAGAGAAGCAAAACGCAUGCCUUCCAUGGCGGCCAUAGCGUCGGAGGGUGCUCCAAAGCCACCCAUGCCUCCCAUGGCGGCCGGAGGUGCACCCAUGCCUCCCAUGGCUCCGAAGCCACCCAUGCCUCCCAUGGCGCCGAGUCCACCGCCACCCAUGGCGCCGAAGCCACCGCUACCCAUUGCACGAACCAAGACUCUUUUUUGGAUCAAGACUUCUUGUUGGGCAAGAUUGACAUACUUUUUUUGCGCCGCAUUGAGGUUAGAUGUGUCCAAGAAGAACAAGUGCUUCUCCCAUUCCAACAACUUAGCUCGCUCCUCGUUGCUCACUUUCCUCUCCUCCAAAGUCACCUUUCUCUCCUCGGUCGUCACCCUUCUCUCCUCGGCCGCCAACCUCCUCUCCUCGGCCACGGCAUCUUGGUUCCUUGCCAUUUUCCUCACCUCAUUGGCGUCGACCCUUGCCUUCACAAUAGCUUCCAUAUCAUUUUUGAGCUCAUCAUCUUCUUUCUUCUUCUUCUUUUCGGUUUUGUCUUUCUUGCACCCAUCCGAUCGUUUUGGCUUCGAGUAUGAAACCGAGUUGGAUGUGGGGCUUCUCUUGCCGUCAUCACUUGAUGCAUCAUCCUCAUCAUCAUCAUCAUUGCUUGCUUCCGUUUGUUGCUCAAAUGCAAAUCCUCCAAACCAACACGCUUCUUUCAUUUCUCAUCAUCCUUUAACACUUCAUAGCAAUGAGGCAAGGUAA
This 768-nucleotide ribosomal RNA is filed under the name Triticum aestivum (bread wheat). RNAcentral describes it as "partial small subunit ribosomal RNA". Lineage: Eukaryota; Viridiplantae; Streptophyta; Magnoliopsida; Poales; Poaceae. The record is from RNAcentral.